AGUGAACGCUGGCGGUAGGCCUAACACAUGCAAGUCGAACGGCAACACAUUAAGUGUUUGCUGCAACGGGGGGCGAGUGGCGGGCGGGAGCGACAUUCCUCUCAAUCUUCUUUUUCGUGGUGGUUAAUAAAGGGAAAGUUACGCUAAUAAGGCAUGCGUCCUAGGUUUGAAAGCGUGGGAUGUUGUGACCGUGUGGGAUUGGAUGGUCCGAGGGGGGAUUAGCUAGUUGGGGGGGUAAAGGCUCACAGAGCCGACAGUCCGUAGAGGGUCUGUGAGGAUGAUAAGCCACAUUGGAACUGAGACACGGUCCAGACUCCUAAGGGAGGAAGCAGUGGGGAAUAUUGGACAAUGGGCGCAAGCCUGAUCCAGCCAUACCGCGUGGGUGAAGAAGGCCUUCGGGUUGUAAAGCCCUUUUGUUGGGAAAGAAAAGCAGCAGGUUAAUACCCCGCUGUUCUGACGGUACCCAAAGAAUAAGCACCGGCUAACUUCGUG
Molecule: ribosomal RNA, 492 nt
Filed under: uncultured bacterium
Lineage: Bacteria
Description: partial 16S ribosomal RNA
Rfam family: Bacterial small subunit ribosomal RNA
Source: RNAcentral